Molecule: ribosomal RNA, 442 nt
Filed under: uncultured bacterium
Lineage: Bacteria
Description: partial 16S ribosomal RNA
Rfam family: Bacterial small subunit ribosomal RNA
Source: RNAcentral
CCUACGGGAGGCAGCAGUAGGGAAUCUUUCACAAUGGGCGAAAGCCUGAUGGAGCAACGCCGCGUGCAGGAUGAAGGCCUUCGGGUUGUAAACUGCUUUUAUAAGCGAGAAAUAUGAUGGUAACUUAUGAAUAAGGAUCGGCUAACUACGUGCCAGCAGCCGCGGUCAUACGUAGGAUCCGAGCAUUAUCCGGAGUGACUGGGUGUAAAGAGUUGCGUAGGUGGCAUAAUAAGUAGCUAGUGAAAUCUGGUGGCUCAACAAUUCAGACUAUUAGCUAAACUGUUAAGCUCGAGACCGUUAGGGGUAACUGGAAUUUCUAGUGUAGGAGUGAAAUCCGUAGAUAUUAGAAGGAACACCAAUAGCGUAGGCAGGUUGCUGGGACGGUUCUGACACUAAGGCACGAAAGCGUAGGGAGCAAACGGGAUUAGAUACCCCUGUAGUC